RNAcentral lists this ribosomal RNA (773 nucleotides) under uncultured Neocallimastigales. RNAcentral's name for it is "partial large subunit ribosomal RNA". It matches the Rfam family "Eukaryotic large subunit ribosomal RNA", at positions 24 to 616 of the family's 3401-position model. The record is from RNAcentral. Lineage: Eukaryota; Fungi; Neocallimastigomycota; Neocallimastigomycetes; Neocallimastigales.
CACGCAUGACACACUGCAUAUCAAUAAGCGGAGGAAAAGAAACUAACAAGGAUUCCCCUAGUAACGGCGAGUGAAGCGGGAAGAGCUCAAAUUUGAAAUCUUAAAGGGUUUCCCUUUACGAAUUGUAGUUUAAAGAAGUGUUUUCUGUUGGAGUUUCGGUAAAAGUUCUUUGGAAUAGGACAUCAUAGAGGGUGAGAAUCCCGUAUUUGACCGUUACUUUCCAGCUGUGUGAUACACUUUCAAAGAGUCGGAUUGUUUGGGAAUGCAGUCCAAGAUGGGUGGUAAAUUUCAUCUAAAGCUAAAUAUUGGCGAGAGACCGAUAGCGAACAAGUACCGUGAGGGAAAGAUGAAAAGAACUUUGAAAAGAGAGUUAGACAGUACGUGAAAUUGUCAAAAGGGAAGCGUUUGACACCAGUGUUGUUUUCUCGAAAAUCAAUUAAAAAAGGCCGGAUUUUGUGUUGUAUUGACCUUAAAAGCUUUCUUCACUCUUUUCUUGUCUUUUUAAUGCACUUUUCGUUUAACAAGUCAACAUCAGUUUCUCUUGUUGUAAAAGGGUAUGAGGAAGGUGGCUUUCUUUUCGGAGAAAGUGUUUAUAGCCUUGUGCCUCUACAAUCGGAGAGAUUGAGGUCUGCAGCGUAGAUCCUUCGGGGUUAGAUACGUUUGUGCUAAGUUAUAGCUUUUCAUAGACAACUUGUUGACUAUGUUUAGUCUUGUAGCUUACUCGCUGACGCUAUUUUACCUACGCUUAGGAUGUUGAGCGCAUGUCUCUCUCU